RNAcentral lists this non-coding RNA (27 nucleotides) under Mus musculus (house mouse). The record is from RNAcentral. Lineage: Eukaryota; Metazoa; Chordata; Mammalia; Rodentia; Muridae.
UGCCUUUCCUGUGAACGUCAGCUCGGC